This 912-nucleotide ribosomal RNA is filed under the name uncultured archaeon. RNAcentral's name for it is "bacterial SSU rRNA". It matches the Rfam family "Archaeal small subunit ribosomal RNA", at positions 1 to 923 of the family's 1478-position model. The record is from RNAcentral.
UUCCGGUUGAUCCCGCCGGACCUGACUGCUAUCGGAUUGAUACUAAGCCAUGCGAGUCAUUGUAGUAAUACAAGGCAGACGGCUCAGUAACGCGUAGUCAACCUAACCUAUGGACGGGAAUAACCUCGGGAAACUGAGUAUAAUGCCCGAUAGAACAUUAUGCCUGGAAUGGUUUAUGUUCCAAAUGAUUUAUCGCCGUAGGAUGGGACUGCGGCCUAUCAGUUUGUUGGUGAGGUAAUGGCCCACCAAGACUAUUACAGGUACGGGCUCUGAGAGGAGUGGCCCGGAGAUGGGUACUGAGACACGGACCCAGGCCCUAUGGGGCGCAGCAGGCGAGAAAACUUUGCAAUGUGCGAAAGCACGACAAGGUUAAUCCGAGUGGUUUCUGCUAAAGGAACCUUUUGUCGGUCCUAGAAACACCGAUGAAUAAGGGGUGGGCAAGUUCUGGUGUCAGCCGCCGCGGUAAAACCAGCACCUCAAGUGGUCAGGAUGAUUAUUGGGCCUAAAGCAUCCGUAGCCGGCUUUGUUAGUUUUCGGUUAAAUCUGUACGCUUAACGUACAGGCUGCCGGGAAUACUGCAGAGCUAGGGAGUGGGAGAGGUAGACGGUACUCGGUAGGAAGGGGUAAAAUCCUUUGAUCUAUUGAUGACCACCUGUGGCGAAGGCGGUCUACCAGAACACGUCCGACGGUGAGGGAUGAAAGCUGGGGGAGCAAACCGGAUUAGAUACCCGGGUAGUCCCAGCUGUAAACUAUGCAAACUCAGUGAUGCAUUGGCUUGUGGCCAAUGCAGUGCUGCAGGAAGCCGUUAAGUUUGCCGCCUGGGAAGUACGUACGCAAGUAUGAAACUUAAAGGAAUUGGCGGGGGAGCACCACAAGGGUGAAGCCUGCGGUUCAAUUGGAUUCACGCCGGGA